Molecule: ribosomal RNA, 497 nt
Filed under: uncultured bacterium
Lineage: Bacteria
Description: partial 16S ribosomal RNA
Rfam family: Bacterial small subunit ribosomal RNA
Source: RNAcentral
GAUGAACGCUGGCGGCGUGCCUAAUACAUGCCAGUCGAGCGAACGGACGAGAAGCUUGCUUCUCUAAUGUUAGCGGCGGACGGGUGAGUAACACGUGGAUAACCUACCUAUAAGACUGGGAUAACUUCGGGAAACCGUAGCUAAUACCGGAUAAUAUUUUGAACCGCAUGGUUCAAAAGUGAAAGACGGUCUUGCUGUCACUUAUAGAUGGAUCCGCGCCGCAUUAGCUAGUUGGUAAGGUAACGGCUUACCAAGGCAACGAUGCAUAGCCGACCUGAGAGGGUGAUCGGCCACACUGGAACUGAGACACGGUCCAGACUCCUACGGGAGGCAGCAGUAGGGAAUCUUCCGCAAUGGGCGAAAGCCUGACGGAGCAACGCCGCGUGAGUGAUGAAGGUCUUCGGAUCGUAAAACUCUGUUAUUAGGGAAGAACAUAUGUGUAAGUAACUAUGCACAUCUUGACGGUACCUAAUCAGAAAGCCACGGCUAACUACGUG